AUUGAACGCUGGCGGCAUGCUUUACACAUGCAAGUCGAACGGUAACAGGGAGCUUGCUCCGCUGACGAGUGGCGAACGGGUGAGUAAUGCAUCGGAACAUGCCCAGUCAUGGGGGAUAACUACGCGAAAGCGUAGCUAAUACCGCAUACGCCCUGAGGGGGAAAGUGGGGGGAUCUUAGGACCUCACGUGAUUGGAGUGGCCGAUGUCAGAUUAGCUAGUUGGUGAGGUAAAGGCUCACCAAGGCGACGAUCUGUAGCGGGUCUGAGAGGAUGAUCCGCCACACUGGGACUGAGACACGGCCCAGACUCCUACGGGAGGCAGCAGUGGGGAAUUUUGGACAAUGGGCGCAAGCCUGAUCCAGCCAUGCCGCGUGAGUGAAGAAGGCCUGCGGGUUGUAAAGCACUUUUGUUCGGGAAGAAAUCAUGUCGGUUAAUACCCGAUGUGGAUGACGGUACCGAAAGAAUAAGCACCGGCUAACUUCGUG
This 485-nucleotide ribosomal RNA is filed under the name uncultured bacterium. RNAcentral's name for it is "bacterial SSU rRNA". It matches the Rfam family "Bacterial small subunit ribosomal RNA", at positions 30 to 507 of the family's 1533-position model. The record is from RNAcentral.